AGUAGUUAUCUUUUUCGGUCA
RNAcentral lists this small nuclear RNA (21 nucleotides) under Arabidopsis thaliana (thale cress). RNAcentral describes it as "snRNA_08551". Lineage: Eukaryota; Viridiplantae; Streptophyta; Magnoliopsida; Brassicales; Brassicaceae. The record is from RNAcentral.